GGCGAGGCUCGUGGGCUCCAGUUUCAGCCACAGAUGGGGUUUCACCAUAUUGGCUAUGCUGGUCUCGAACUCCUGACCUUGUGAUCCACCUGCCUUGGCCUCCCAAAGUGCUGGGAUUACAGGAUGAAAGGCUUCCUAGCACAAACACCACCCCUGGAGUUCCCGGUACAUCAAUACCAGCCUGGGGAUCACGUUCUCAUCAAGAGUUGGAAGAGGGAAAGCUUGAACCAGCUUAGGAGGACCUCAUCUGGUACUCUUGAUGAAUGAAACAGCAAUCUGAAUGGCUGAAAAAGGAUGGACCCAGCACUCCAGGGAGAAAACUUGGCAUUCUUUGGGAAUCUAACAGGAUGCAGUGAACCCAAGCCUUUUGAAGAGCUCACCAAUCAGACUGCCCUUGUCUAUCCAUGAGCAGAUGUUUGAUAGUAUUGCGGAGGCCCUCUAGUGGGUAUGCUGCCAAGCAACUGGAGUGGCACUUGGGCUCUAAUCCAGUUGUCUAUCCCUUUCACCCUGGCAUUUCAUCAGCCAAACAAAAACCAACUAACUCAGAAAAAAAGGAAAGCCCCUCAAGGGUCCUUUGACCCCGAUAUCUACAUAGAUGCUAUCGGGGUCCCCUGAGGGGUACCAAACGAAUUCAAAGCUCGAAAUCAAAUAGCUGCUGGAUUCAAGUCUGUCCUUUUCUUGUGGUCUACUAUAAAUAAAAAUGUAGACUGGAUAAAUUACAUAUACUAUAACCAACAACGAUUUGUCAGUUACACCAGGGAUGCCAUUAAAGGAAUAGCUGAAC
RNAcentral lists this long non-coding RNA (784 nucleotides) under Homo sapiens (human). RNAcentral's name for it is "ZNF561 antisense RNA 1". The record is from RNAcentral. Lineage: Eukaryota; Metazoa; Chordata; Mammalia; Primates; Hominidae.